GUGCCAGCAGCCGCGGUAAGACGAACCGUGCAAACGUUGUUCGGAAUCACUGGGCUUAAAGGGCGCGUAGGCGGCAGAUCAAGUCCGGGGUGAAAUCCUGCAGCUUAACUGUAGAAGUGCCUUGGAUACUGAUUUGCUCGAGGGAGGUAGGGGUCUGUGGAACUUCUGGUGGAGCGGUGAAAUGCGUUGAUAUCAGAAGGAACGCCGGUGGCGAAAGCGACGGACUGGAUCUCUUCUGACGCUGAGGCGCGAAAGCUAGGGGAGCAAACGGGAUUAGAUACCCCAGUAGUCC
This 292-nucleotide ribosomal RNA is filed under the name uncultured bacterium. RNAcentral describes it as "partial 16S ribosomal RNA". It matches the Rfam family "Bacterial small subunit ribosomal RNA", at positions 505 to 796 of the family's 1533-position model. The record is from RNAcentral.